Molecule: ribosomal RNA, 216 nt
Filed under: Glomeromycotina sp.
Lineage: Eukaryota; Fungi; Glomeromycota
Description: partial small subunit ribosomal RNA
Rfam family: Eukaryotic small subunit ribosomal RNA (bases 40-216)
Source: RNAcentral
GGGUCAGUAGGUUGGUCGUGCCACCGGUACGUACUGGUCUCACUGAUUCCUCCUUCCUGAAGAACCGUAAUGCCAUUAAUUUGGUGUUGCGGGGAAACAGGACUGUUACGUUGAAAAAAUUAGAGUGUUAAAAGCAAGCUAACGCUUGAAUACAUUAGCAUGGAAUAAUGAAAUAGGACGAUCGAUCCUAUUUUGUUGUUUUCUAGGAUUGACGUA